Molecule: non-coding RNA, 208 nt
Submitted as: unclassified sequences
Source: Rfam
UGCUGUCGGGUCUGUGGUUGAAAGUCGAUGCCAGUCGCAGGCAAAGCGAUCCACGUAAGGUGUUUAAAAGAAUACUGAGCAUGGUGCGGCUUAGAAGUAAGUCCGUCCAGAACUUGAUUCUGAGAGGGUUAGUAGUGGGGCACUGAGGUGUAUGAGCGAAAACUCCAGACGGCGAGUGUGGGGUCAAAGACCAGGUCAGCCGAUUGUU